UGUUAAUAAAGCUCAAGAAUUGAAUUUAUUAUAUAAUUUUCUCAUGAAUCUUUUUGGUUUCUAAAUUGAAAUGACAUUUAUCACGUCACAAUAUAAUAGUAUCAUUCCAGUAUUUUAUCAAAUUUUAGUAUUAAAAAUAUGUCUUUCAAGAUGCACGUUAUCCAUGUAACAAGACGAAGCCGUUUAUCAUGCAAAGGGAAGAUAUCGACUCUGGCUAUCGAUAUGCUUUUCUCUAACUGAAAUGUUUUCCGAUAUCGUGUACACAUGCAAGUUGCCAAACACAUCUAUCCGAUAAAGAAUAUCAAUAUUACCGUUGUUUGAAUAAGAGUACGAAAAUUGUAGACUGACGUGUCCAUCUGGAUAAGAUUCAUACAAAAAAGAAAAAAAAACAACGAAUAUGUACUUUACAGAUUGCACCUAUAAAAAAAAACAAAAAUUUAAAACAAAGAUUGACCUAAACGAUGAAAAGAAGCUCAAAAUUGAUUGUCUUCCGUUUCUAAUAAAUCACUCAGAUUUUCGGAUGUUUUUCAAACUUUUUAUAUUUUAUAUACAAUAUAUAGAGUAAUCUUCUGAUAAAAAUUGCUACUAAUUUUCCAUUCUCUUAACUUUAUGUUCCAUAUUUAUAUCUACUUUUCCAGAGUAAUUAACAUAUUAAAGUAUAGUUCAAUCAGUCUAUUAGAAAUUUAUUAACGUCUAAUUAAUUAAGAAUAUUCCAUUUUAUUUGCCUUUCUUUCGUGUUAUCCUUACA
Centruroides sculpturatus (bark scorpion) is the source of this 748-nucleotide long non-coding RNA. RefSeq lists it as uncharacterized. The transcript has 4 exons. Lineage: Eukaryota; Metazoa; Arthropoda; Arachnida; Scorpiones; Buthidae. The record is from RefSeq and is a predicted model, not a curated record.